UGGGGAAUAUUGGGCAAUGGGGGAAACCCUGACCCAGCAACGCCGCGUGAGUGAAGAAGGCCUUCGGGUUGUAAAGCUCUGUCGCAGGGGACGAAACAAAUGACGGUACCCUGUGAGGAAGCCCCGGCUAACUACGUGCCAGCAGCCGCGGUAAUACGGAGGGGGCGAGCGUUGUCCGGAAUUACUGGGCGUAAAGGGUGCGUAGGCGGCUUGUUAAGUUGGAUGUGAAAUACCCGGGCUCAACCUGGGGGGUGCAUUCAAAACGGGCGGGCUAGAGUGCAGGGGAGGGCAGCGGAGUUCUUAGUGUGUCGGUGAAAUUCGUAGAUAUUAGGAGGAACACCAGUGGCGAAGGCGGCUUUCUGGACUGUAACUGACGCUGAUGCACGAAAGCGUGGGGAGCAAACA
Molecule: ribosomal RNA, 405 nt
Filed under: uncultured bacterium
Lineage: Bacteria
Description: bacterial SSU rRNA
Rfam family: Bacterial small subunit ribosomal RNA
Source: RNAcentral